This 73-nucleotide transfer RNA is filed under the name Camelus bactrianus (Bactrian camel). It matches the Rfam family "tRNA". From Rfam's summary of the family: Transfer RNA (tRNA) molecules are approximately 80 nucleotides in length. The record is from Rfam by way of RNAcentral. RNAcentral also lists the same sequence under 3 other names. Lineage: Eukaryota; Metazoa; Chordata; Mammalia; Artiodactyla; Camelidae.
GGGGGAAUAGCUGAGUGGUAGAGUGUCUUGCUUAGCAUGAAUGAGGUCCUGGGUUCAAUCCCCAGUACCUUCA